RNAcentral lists this ribosomal RNA (729 nucleotides) under uncultured Staphylococcus sp. RNAcentral describes it as "bacterial SSU rRNA". It matches the Rfam family "Bacterial small subunit ribosomal RNA", at positions 69 to 781 of the family's 1533-position model. Lineage: Bacteria; Bacillati; Bacillota; Bacilli; Caryophanales; Staphylococcaceae. The record is from RNAcentral.
ACAGACGAGGAGCUUGCUCCUCUGACGUUAGCGGCGGACGGGUGAGUAACACGUGGAUAACCUACCUAUAAGACUGGGAUAACUUCGGGAAACCGGAGCUAAUACCGGAUAAUAUAUUGAACCGCAUGGUUCAAUAGUGAAAGACGGUUUUGCUGUCACUUAUAGAUGGAUCCGCGCCGCAUUAGCUAGUUGGUAAGGUAACGGCUUACCAAGGCGACGAUGCGUAGCCGACCUGAGAGGGUGAUCGGCCACACUGGAACUGAGACACGGUCCAGACUCCUACGGGAGGCAGCAGUAGGGAAUCUUCCGCAAUGGGCGAAAGCCUGACGGAGCAACGCCGCGUGAGUGAUGAAGGUCUUCGGAUCGUAAAACUCUGUUAUUAGGGAAGAACAAAUGUGUAAGUAACUAUGCACGUCUUGACGGUACCUAAUCAGAAAGCCACGGCUAACUACGUGCCAGCAGCCGCGGUAAUACGUAGGUGGCAAGCGUUAUCCGGAAUUAUUGGGCGUAAAGCGCGCGUAGGCGGUUUUUUAAGUCUGAUGUGAAAGCCCACGGCUCAACCGUGGAGGGUCAUUGGAAACUGGAAAACUUGAGUGCAGAAGAGGAAAGUGGAAUUCCAUGUGUAGCGGUGAAAUGCGCAGAGAUAUGGAGGAACACCAGUGGCGAAGGCGACUUUCUGGUCUGUAACUGACGCUGAUGUGCGAAAGCGUGGGGAUCAAACAGGAUUAG